AACUUAAUGGCUAAGUGCAGCAGAGAGACAUCUUUUGUAGCUUAACAAAAAGAAUGGAUAUCUACAGAGAUGGUCAUGUAACAUAUAAUUUGAAGCUUAAAAGCCAUCAAACGAACUUUGAUGGUAUCGUUCAGAUAGCCAUGCGUUGUUAUAAGAUAUCAGAAAUCUGCAAAACUAAAGUACAUUGUAAGCCUAUCAUCAAUACAGAACAAAGUUUAUCGCUUGAUCGAGAAGAAACCUGAAGCUAAGCAAGAUGUUAUACGCACCGAUGGAGCUGCAUCUUGCUUAGUGAGUUUAAGCAUCUCUCUGUCGAACACUACAAAAGUGGCAUUGUCAUUUCCAUCAUCAACUGAUAAUUCAACAUGGUACCUGUAACAAAGGGUGACCUCAGUGAUCGCAUUGACAAAAACAGUCUAAUAAUCAUAGAUUUUACUUAGGGCAAAUCUCCAAAAUAGCACCUUUCUAAGUUUAUAUCACAAAAAUAGCACUCAAAAACUAAAAUGACCAAAAUAACACCUUUUUAAGUUUAUCCUUUGAAAAUUUUAAUUUUUUUAUUUU
This 558-nucleotide long non-coding RNA is filed under the name Brassica napus (rape). Its description in RNAcentral is "long non-coding RNA (BNAP_LNC017648)". The record is from RNAcentral. Lineage: Eukaryota; Viridiplantae; Streptophyta; Magnoliopsida; Brassicales; Brassicaceae.